Molecule: ribosomal RNA, 253 nt
Filed under: uncultured bacterium
Lineage: Bacteria
Description: partial 16S ribosomal RNA
Rfam family: Bacterial small subunit ribosomal RNA
Source: RNAcentral
UACGGAGGGUGCGAGCGUUGUCCGGAAUCAUUGGGCGUAAAGGGCGCGUAGGCGGCUCGGCACGUCCGUUGUGAAAUCGCUCGGCUCAACUGGGCGAGGUCAGCGGAUACGGUCGAGCUUGAGCCAGCUAGGGGGCAAUGGAAUUCCCGGUGUAGUGGUGGAAUGCGUAGAUAUCGGGAGGAACACCAGUGGCGAAGGCGGUUGCCUGGGGCUGUGCUGACGCUGAUGCGCGAAAGCGUGGGGAGCGAUCCGG